CCAUCCCCAGGGCUCACUGGGGGAUGAGCAGAAGGACCCGGGCAUACCUGGCAGGUCUCCUGGCUCUGCCUCCUUUGUGCGCAUCUCUUAGCAGCCCCGAAGCUCCCGCUCACCGAGAACAAGAGGACCAAUUACAUCAACCAGCUCCCUUACAAGGAAGGGCAAAACCAUGCAUCAGCAGCUGUAACGAGCGCGCCUCCGAGUGGCCUGGAUGAGAGGACGCGGUGAGUGAGUGGAGCAGUCUCCAGCCUGCGCGGGUAAUUCCAUUUGCUGUUCAACUUGACGAAGGGAGAUAAGAAGAUGAUCCCUGUCCUCCAGAAGCUCAUGGUCCAGAAAGGAGGAUGAGAGGCUCAAGGCAAAGGAGACAGAGGUUCACAGAGAGCUGAGGGAGAGCCGAUGCUUCAUAGCCAUGAGGUGGCUUCUCUUGGCCAGGCCGAGUCUGCGAUGCAAUCAGACAGGUGAGCUGACCUACCUUGCACCGUCCGUCUCUGGCAAGCUCAGGAUUCGUCCCCAGGAUGCAAAAUCCUCGAUGGCCACCAACACUUAGCACGAGGUGAGCAUCACCAGGAGGCCAGGCCGUCUAAAAAGAGACAAG
Long non-coding RNA from Bubalus bubalis (water buffalo), 595 nucleotides. RefSeq lists it as uncharacterized. The record is from RefSeq and is a predicted model, not a curated record. NCBI's taxonomy places the organism in Eukaryota, Metazoa, Chordata, Mammalia, Artiodactyla, Bovidae. The transcript is spliced from 4 exons.